Molecule: non-coding RNA, 25 nt
Filed under: Mus musculus (house mouse)
Lineage: Eukaryota; Metazoa; Chordata; Mammalia; Rodentia; Muridae
Source: RNAcentral
UGACAGUGUCUUCCUUACAGUGUAC